UACAGAGGUCCCAAGCGUUGUUCGGAUUCACUGGGCGUAAAGGGUGCGUAGGCGGUCGGGUAGGUCUGAUGUGAAAUCUCACAGCUUAACUGUGAAACUGCAUUGGAUACUAUUCGGCUUGAGAGUUGGAGGGGGGACUGGAAUUCUUGGUGUAGCAGUGAAAUGCGUAGAUAUCAAGAGGAACACCAGUGGCGAAGGCGAGUCCCUGGACAACUUCUGACGCUGAGGCACGAAAGCUAGGGGAGCAAACAGG
This 253-nucleotide ribosomal RNA is filed under the name uncultured bacterium. RNAcentral's name for it is "partial 16S ribosomal RNA". It matches the Rfam family "Bacterial small subunit ribosomal RNA", at positions 524 to 776 of the family's 1533-position model. The record is from RNAcentral.